Molecule: unclassified non-coding RNA, 488 nt
Filed under: Hevea brasiliensis (rubber tree)
Lineage: Eukaryota; Viridiplantae; Streptophyta; Magnoliopsida; Malpighiales; Euphorbiaceae
Source: RNAcentral
UCCAACAAUUCCUCAAUUUCAACGUCGAGUUUCAAUGUCAUCAUUCUAUUCUUCGAGUCAACAGUCGAGUCAACAGUCCUCAGCAGCUAACUCUCCUCCAAGGGCACGGCCAAAACCAGCUCAAACUCCUCGAGCUGAUGGGAAGGAGUUCUUCCGUCAAGCCAGGAGUCGUCUGUCUUAUGAGCAGUUCAGUGCGUUUCUAGCAAACAUAAAGGAACUAAAUGCUCAAAAGCAAUCUCGUGAGGAAACUUUGAAAAAAGCAGAAGAGAUUUUUGGAACGGAUAACAAGGAUCUCUAUCUAUCAUUCCAAGGGAUGCUUAACCGUGGUGUUCGUUGACAGUACAAAAAGUCAUCUUGGGUGUAUAUUCCCAUCUUAUGGUAGCUUAAACAUUUAACAUAAGUCUUGCUUAGUGAUCUAAAGUUGACCAAAGGACUUGUGGAACUCUUGAUCUAUGUUCCAAUUUGAGGUGCAGUAUCGCUAAACAUCA